Molecule: transfer RNA, 69 nt
Filed under: Archetypus frenchi
Lineage: Eukaryota; Metazoa; Arthropoda; Insecta; Coleoptera; Cerambycidae
Description: tRNA-Ile
Source: RNAcentral
AGUUAAGUGCCUGAAAAAGGGUAAUCUUGAUAGGAUUAAUUAUGUGGAAAAUUAGGUCCACCUUUGCUA